Molecule: long non-coding RNA, 773 nt
Filed under: Gallus gallus (chicken)
Lineage: Eukaryota; Metazoa; Chordata; Aves; Galliformes; Phasianidae
Description: lncRNA (ENSGALG00010008698.1)
Source: RNAcentral
CUGGAAUAGAUAAAGGGGAAAAUAACUUCCCUGUCCUGCCUGAUGGGUAAGUAACCCGCCUGCUCAAGGGUAGCUUUUAUUUUCAUUUGUUUGGUUUUUAUCUUAUUUCGUUUAGGUGUUUGGCAGCGAAGAAGGAGGUUGGAGGAAAUCAGAAGUGUUUCAGCCCCUUGAAGCUUUCUGGUACCUGGAAGCCUCCUCACUUCCACCUAGCGUCUUUCACCACUGCCCAUAGCCACCUGAAGUUCACGUAUGUUACAAUAUCAGGCGUGAGCUGUGCUCCAGCACGCGCUGACGGGAAUAGUCCGAGAAGACUGGCUACAGAAGGCAUUACCUGCCACGUAAGGUUUCAUUAUGCCUUCCUGCCUCACAGAACAGCUGUAACAUUAAACCCAUUGAAAUCUGUAAAGUGCUCAGAGAUCUACUGAAGGGAGGCAGGACAGAAGUAAAAGGUACUCAAUUUUCAUCGCGUUUUAUCAGGCAAGAGAGUUUCCCGAAUGUCUUCGUAACAAAUAAGAAUAAAUAGCUGCACAUGUAAAAUGUAUCCUGCGCUCACUAAUAGGUAUCUUCCGGGCAGUGGUUGAGGAGAAUCUCUAUUUAAGAACAGCGUAGAUCUGAAGACUUGAAUUCAUUUUUCAAUACCUUUCUUAGGGCCAUAGCCUUAUGCACUUCACUAGUGCAUGAAUACUAUCCAAAUCUACUGGCAUUCGAGUAAUAGUGGCAAAUAGUUUGAUUGUUUUCUCCUGUCAAAUUUCUACUAGAUUUUCAAAUAAAUC